RNAcentral lists this ribosomal RNA (301 nucleotides) under uncultured bacterium. Its description in RNAcentral is "partial 16S ribosomal RNA". It matches the Rfam family "Bacterial small subunit ribosomal RNA", at positions 509 to 809 of the family's 1533-position model. The record is from RNAcentral.
CAGCCGCCACGGUAAUACGUAGGGUGCGAGCGUUAAUCGGAAUUACUGGGCGUAAAGCGUGCGCAGGCGGUUAUAUAAGACAGAUGUGAAAUCCCCGGGCUCAACCUGGGACCUGCAUUUGUGACUGUAUAGCUAGAGUACGGUAGAGGGGGAUGGAAUUCCGCGUGUAGCAGUGAAAUGCGUAGAUAUGCGGAGGAACACCGAUGGCGAAGGCAAUCCCCUGGACCUGUACUGACGCUCAUGCACGAAAGCGUGGGGAGCAAACAGGAUUAGAUACCCCGGUAGUCCCUGUCUCUUAUAU